CUGUUCCCAUUUUUGUCACUGCAAACCAUCAACUCGCGACCAUCACAUCUUGCCCUGGGGUUUCUAAACAUUUGCCAGCUGGCUGAUCAGAUUGUCGGGGGGCAAAUUGUCUGGAUUUGAAUACAUUUACCCGCAGGUGGGGGGCGGAGCCAGGCUUCCAUGCAGAGCAGACGUGGUGUGCCUGAGAUCCUGAAAGUUUUACUACAUCUGAGGUGAUAUCCCUUGGUUAAAGAACAGCUACGUCCAAGGAAGGGCACUAUCCGAGUCUAGGGAUUCCUGCUGACUAUCCUGACACUCGAGCGGUGUUUCUACCCCACCUGGAAUCCGUGUCUCUCUGCUGCGGCCUACUGGGGACGGAGCUGGGGAGAGGUGGCUGAUCUCACUCCUCAGACCCUGGUUUAGCUCAGCUAUACUCCUAUCGCCCAGCCCCCACUGCAUCGGCGGGGGAUAUCACGGUCCCCACUGGACACCAGAGCUAACUGCCUUAUCUACUCUGUACUCCAUGUGGAAAUUAAGCAACACAUAGCCCACAAUGGGUAAUCAAGAUGGCGAAUGCGACCGUCCAGACCCCCUGCUUGCCCCAGAGGGAAGAUAACCUUGGUACCUGAGAGGGUCCAAGCCUGCAAACAAGGGAUGCCAGCCCUCAUACAAGCUCCUGCACACUCAUCAACCCUGCCGCAGGCAGGCAUCGGAUGAUCCUGGGACUGCACCUAUAUCCCGAGGCUUGCUCAGGCAGCGGCAGCAGCUGCAUACUCAGAUCCCUUUAUAUUUCCAGUUUUCUGCUAUCAGUUUUUUCAUUAUGUUUAUUAUGUUCCCUUAUAUUUCUUACUUAGACAAACACUAUUCCUAGUGCGGAGUACCCCUGCAUUAGCGCUAGCACGCUCCGGGGUCCAGUGUCCUCAAGCGUUAACUGAAACUCAAACGACCACAUGUGCUCAUAUCAUUACCUUAGGGUAAACCUGCGAUACCACCAUGAUCCCUGCAUCAUAAAUCACGCCAGCUAUACCUGCUAGUUGUUAAACUGACUGCAGGAUUGAAAAACUGAGCACACUGUUUUACCAAAUCUUAUUAGUUUCUACAGUAAUUGAAUAUUCUAUUGACUGUGGUGCAUAUAAUAUGUAAGAGUUUUAUUAAUAUGGUGACCGCUCAAAUGUGCACCAUGCUCUUAAUGUCUUUACUUUCUUAUAAAACAAAAAUGAGCUGUCCUAUAUGUACACUUAACCUGUCAAAAAUAAUAAAUGUGCCUGCAGGUGAAUCUGUUUGGAAGAUUUGUCCGAUUUCAGGCAAUAUCUAGUAAAUAUUCAGUGUACGAUAAAUGUGCAAAUCCUAUACAAAUGAGAAUUAUAGAUUUGAAACCUGUUACAGUAUUGUACAAAAGACAGUGCAUAUUGCAUUCAGCAUUAGUAAAUGUCCAAAAACGGCAAAUUCUGAGAAAAUCUGGUGUAAUGGGACCUUUGUGAAUAACCCAAGAUUUUUACCAAUUCAGCUGUUUUCACCUUGAAUUUGAAAUUUACUUCACAAUUCUCACUUUAUUAAAUAACCCUGUAUAACCCUGUAUGUAAUGCCAGAAGUUUUAAUCCUUGCAGCAAGUAUAGGUCACAUCACACGCUUUCUCAGAAAUAAAUCACUGCCAAGCAAGAUGUGUG
Molecule: long non-coding RNA, 1646 nt
Filed under: Pelobates cultripes (western spadefoot toad)
Lineage: Eukaryota; Metazoa; Chordata; Amphibia; Anura; Pelobatidae
Source: RNAcentral